AGCUCCAAUAGCGUAUAUUAAAGUUGUUGCAGUUAAAAAGCUCGUAGUCGGAUUCUGAGGAGCGGGCGCUCUUGGUCUUUCCGGGAGGUCUGUACCGAAGCGCCCACCUCGAUUUUCCGGAUCGUCGUCUUCUGCUCUUAACUGAGUGGGGGAUGGCUCCGGAUCGUUUACUUUGAAAAAAUUAGGGUGUUCAAAGCAGGCUAAAACGUAAGCCUUGAAUAGAUUAGCAUGGGAUAAUAGAAUACGACCUCGUUCGUGUUUUGUUGGUUUAGCGGACGAGGUAAUGAUUAAUAGGGACAAUCGGGGUAAUUCAUAUUUAAUUGUCAGAGGUGAAAUUCUUAGAUUUCUGAAAGAUGAACGUCAGCGAAGGCAUCUUACAAGGGUGUCUCCA
This 391-nucleotide ribosomal RNA is filed under the name uncultured eukaryote. RNAcentral describes it as "SSU rRNA". It matches the Rfam family "Eukaryotic small subunit ribosomal RNA", at positions 587 to 972 of the family's 1831-position model. The record is from RNAcentral.